This is a long non-coding RNA of Xenopus tropicalis (tropical clawed frog), 389 nucleotides long. RefSeq lists it as uncharacterized. The transcript has 2 exons. The record is from RefSeq and is a predicted model, not a curated record. Lineage: Eukaryota; Metazoa; Chordata; Amphibia; Anura; Pipidae.
CAGGACUUUCAACCUCUUGCCUCAGAGGGCACAGGAUAUUCGAUUCGAAGCGUCACUUACAGAUUUUCACAUCUGCGCUUGAGGUGAUGACCAUAUUUUUCAAGCUCAGGUCAUGAAGCAUUACCUCUUGCCUUUCAAGAUGGUACAGGCCCUGGGAAAAGAAUAAAGCAAAAGUGAAAAUAUAAAUAUUUUUCAUGUUUAAUUAAUUAGAUAUAUCCAGAAUAGCACCGAGGAGCAUUGCACGUGACAUACCUUCAAUAUCUCCUUACAAAUGUAGGAGAUCCAGCCCUGACCAAAGGAUUUCUUGGUGUUGAUUAGAGACUGCACUGUUUCACCAGUACAAAUCUCAGUAGAAAUCUACAAUACAAAUAAAGAAUAUUUGAAACAUA